CCUGCCGGACCUGACUGCUAUCGGAUUGAUACUAAGCCAUGCGAGUCUUUGUAGUAAUACAAGGCAGACGGCUCAGUAACACGUAGUCAACCUACCCUAUGGACAAGAAUAAUCUCGGGAAACUGGGCAUAAUUCUUGAUAGAUCAUAAUGCCUGGAAUGGUUUAUGGUUAAAAUGAUUCGUCGCCAUAGGAUGGGACUGCGGCCUAUCAGCUUGUUGGUGAGGUAAUGGCCCACCAAGGCGAUUACAGGUACGGGCUCUGAGAGGAGAAGCCCGGAGAUGGGUACUGAGACACGGACCCAGGCCCUAUGGGGCGCAGCAGGCGAGAAAACUUUGCAAUGUGCGAAAGCACGACAAGGUUAAUCCGAGUGAUUUCUGCUAAAGAAAUCUUUUGUCAGUCGUAAAACCACUGGCGAAUAAGGGGUGGGCAAGUUCUGGUGUCAGCCGCCGCGGUAAAACCAGCACCUCAAGUGGUCAGGAUGAUUAUUGGGCCUAAAGCAUCCGUAGCCGGCUUUGUAAGUUUUCGGUUAAAUCUGUAUGCUCAACAUACAGGCCGCCGGGAAUACUGCAGGGCUAGGGAGUGGGAGAGGUAGACGGUACUCGGGAGGAAGUGGUAAAAUGCUUUGAUCUCUCGAUGACCACCUGUGGCGAAGGCGGUCUACCAGAACACGUCCGACGGUGAGGGAUGAAAGCUGGGGGAGCAAACCGGAUUAGAUACCCGGGUAGUCCCAGCCGUAAACUAUGCAAACUCAGUGAUGCAUUGGCAUAAUAGCCAGUGCAGUGUCGCAGGGAAGCCGUUAAGUCUGCCGCCUGGGAAGUACGUACGCAAGUAUGAAACUUAAAGGAAUUGGCGGGGGAGCACCACAAGGGGUGAAGCCUGCGGUUCAAU
This 888-nucleotide ribosomal RNA is filed under the name uncultured marine group I thaumarchaeote. Its description in RNAcentral is "SSU rRNA". It matches the Rfam family "Archaeal small subunit ribosomal RNA", at positions 13 to 906 of the family's 1478-position model. The record is from RNAcentral. Lineage: Archaea; Thermoproteati; Nitrososphaerota.